CUUCUUCACACAAAAAAAACAAAAUAGAAAAUGUUGAAAAACUGCGGCAGUAUGAUUCAAAUUUGUGGGUGUCCCAUAGGGCGACGUGUGGGCGUGACCGGGCGACUUACACGGAAAUUGUGCCAAGCCCUUAAAUGAGCUCUAUUGUCUGGGAAAUACAUCACCCAUAUAUAAAUUUGUUUUUGCUUUUGCUUAACUUAAUUUUUGAUCAAUUUUAAUCCGAAGCUGAUGAAAA
This is a non-coding RNA of Drosophila virilis, 235 nucleotides long. The record is from RefSeq and is a predicted model, not a curated record. Lineage: Eukaryota; Metazoa; Arthropoda; Insecta; Diptera; Drosophilidae.